UUCUUCCUCCAAAAGGAAGUAGGGCCUGCUCACUGAAUAUUAAAGAGCCGCGGUAUCCUGACUGUGCGAAGGUAGCAUAAUAAUUUGCCUCUUAAUUGGGGGCUGGUAUGAAUGGUCUAACGAGAAAUUAACUUUUUUGGGAGUAGUUUAGUUUAAUUUAACUUUUUAGUGAAAAGGCUAAAAUAUUAUAAAUAGACGAGAAGACCCUAUAGAGUUUUAUAUUUUAUUCAUUUACCUUUUAUUAUUCCUUUAAUUGUAAAUGAAGACAAUAUUUUGUUGGGGCGACAUUUAGAUAAGAGCAACUUUUUAUAUUAUAAACUCCUAUUGGAGAAUCUUUGAUCCUUCCUAUAGAUUAAAAGAAUAAGUUACCUUAGGGAUAACAGCGUAAUCUUCCUCGAGAGCUCGAAUCGACAGGAAGGUUUGCGACCUCGAUGUUGGACUAAAAUUAAACUAAGGUGCAGUAGUCUUAGAAUUAGGUCUGUUCGACCUAUAGACUUUU
This 499-nucleotide ribosomal RNA is filed under the name Lepas anserifera. RNAcentral's name for it is "partial 16S ribosomal RNA". It matches the Rfam family "Bacterial large subunit ribosomal RNA", at positions 1821 to 2597 of the family's 2925-position model. Lineage: Eukaryota; Metazoa; Arthropoda; Thecostraca; Lepadidae. The record is from RNAcentral.